AAUGUUCCUACGUAUGUGGGUGUCGGCUACAAGUUAUCCGCUUGCAGUUGACCUAACAGGGAACCGGGCGUACAUCCCGGACAGUGCCGCUACUGUGUUGGAACAGAGGAUGCGCAUGGCUGAUGGAUACAGUCAUGAGGGCACCACCAAAAAAGUGUUCCUAAGUCAGAUACCUGCCCAUGUUGUCUUGGUGUU
RNAcentral lists this non-coding RNA (195 nucleotides) under Butyrivibrio fibrisolvens. The record is from RNAcentral. Lineage: Bacteria; Bacillati; Bacillota; Clostridia; Lachnospirales; Lachnospiraceae.